GACGAACGCUGGCGGCGUGCCUAAUACAUGCAAGUAGAACGCUGAAGGAGGAGCUUGCUUCUCUGGAUGAGUUGCGAACGGGUGAGUAACGCGUAGGUAACCUGCCUGGUAGCGGGGGAUAACUAUUGGAAACGAUAGCUAAUACCGCAUAAGAGUAGAUGUCGCAUGACAUUUGCUUAAAAGGUGCAAUUGCAUCACUACCAGAUGGACCUGCGUUGUAUUAGCUAGUUGGUGAGGUAACGGCUCACCAAGGCAACGAUACAUAGCCGACCUGAGAGGGUGAUCGGCCACACUGGGACUGAGACACGGCCCAGACUCCUACGGGAGGCAGCAGUAGGGAAUCUUCGGCAAUGGACGGAAGUCUGACCGAGCAACGCCGCGUGAGUGAAGAAGGUUUUCGGAUCGUAAGGCUCUGUUGUAAGAGAAGAACGAGUGUGAGAGUGGAAAGUUCACACUGUGACGGUAUCUUACCAGAAAGGGACGGCUAACUACGUG
RNAcentral lists this ribosomal RNA (495 nucleotides) under uncultured bacterium. Its description in RNAcentral is "partial 16S ribosomal RNA". It matches the Rfam family "Bacterial small subunit ribosomal RNA", at positions 28 to 507 of the family's 1533-position model. The record is from RNAcentral.